Molecule: ribosomal RNA, 550 nt
Filed under: Clostridioides difficile
Lineage: Bacteria; Bacillati; Bacillota; Clostridia; Peptostreptococcales; Peptostreptococcaceae
Description: bacterial SSU rRNA
Rfam family: Bacterial small subunit ribosomal RNA
Source: RNAcentral
UAACGGCUUACCAAGGCGACGAUCAGUAGCCGACCUGAGAGGGUGAUCGGCCACAUUGGAACUGAGACACGGUCCAAACUCCUACGGGAGGCAGCAGUGGGGAAUAUUGCACAAUGGGCGAAAGCCUGAUGCAGCAACGCCGCGUGAGUGAUGAAGGCCUUCGGGUCGUAAAACUCUGUCCUCAAGGAAGAUAAUGACGGUACUUGAGGAGGAAGCCCCGGCUAACUACGUGCCAGCAGCCGCGGUAAUACGUAGGGGGCUAGCGUUAUCCGGAUUUACUGGGCGUAAAGGGUGCGUAGGCGGUCUUUCAAGUCAGGAGUGAAAGGCUACGGCUCAACCGUAGUAAGCUCUUGAAACUGGGAGACUUGAGUGCAGGAGAGGAGAGUGGAAUUCCUAGUGUAGCGGUGAAAUGCGUAGAUAUUAGGAGGAACACCAGUUGCGAAGGCGGCUCUCUGGACUGUAACUGACGCUGAGGCACGAAAGCGUGGGGAGCAAACAGGAUUAGAUACCCUGGUAGUCCACGCUGUAAACGAUGAGUACUAGGUGUCGG